Long non-coding RNA from Sander lucioperca (pikeperch), 429 nucleotides. RefSeq lists it as uncharacterized. The transcript is spliced from 4 exons. NCBI's taxonomy places the organism in Eukaryota, Metazoa, Chordata, Actinopteri, Perciformes, Percidae. The record is from RefSeq and is a predicted model, not a curated record.
UCUGUCACUGUUGUUGUGGUUGGUUUUUCUGUGAAUGUUGUUGUGGUAGGUGUUUCUGUGACAGUUGUUGUGGUAGUUGUUUCUGUAACUGUUGUUGUGGUAGGUUUUUCUGUGACUGUUGUUGUGGUAGGUUUUUCUGUGACUGUUGUUGUGGUAGGUUUUUCUGUCGAUGUUGUGGUAGGUUCUACUGUGACUGUUGUUGUGGUAGGUUCUACUGUGACUGUUGUUGUGGUAGGUUCUACUGUGACUGUUGUUGUGGUAGGUUCUUCUGUGACAGUUGUUGUGGUAGGUUUUUCUGUGACUGUUGUUGUGGUAGGUUUUUCUGUCGAUGUUGUGGUAGGUUCUACUGUGACUGUUGUUGUGGUAGGUUUUUCUGUGGAUGUUGUUGUGGUAGGUUUUUCUGUGACUGUUGUUGUGGUAGGUGUUUCU